UGCUCACUUCAGCAGCACAUGCUGAAAAUUGAAACGAUACAGAGAUUAGCAUGGUCCCUGCACAGGGAUAACACACAAAUUCAUGAAGUGUUCCAUAUUUUU
Small nuclear RNA from Leptonychotes weddellii (Weddell seal), 102 nucleotides. Lineage: Eukaryota; Metazoa; Chordata; Mammalia; Carnivora; Phocidae. The record is from RefSeq and is a predicted model, not a curated record.